RNAcentral lists this non-coding RNA (95 nucleotides) under uncultured Blautia sp. Its description in RNAcentral is "TPP riboswitch (THI element)". The stretch from base 5 to 86 matches the Rfam family "TPP riboswitch aptamer (THI element)", at positions 9 to 90 of the family's 105-position model. Rfam says of the family: Vitamin B(1) in its active form thiamin pyrophosphate (TPP) is an essential coenzyme that is synthesised by coupling of pyrimidine and thiazole moieties in bacteria. The previously detected thiamin-regulatory element, thi box was extended, resulting in a new, highly conserved RNA secondary structure, the THI element, which is widely distributed in eubacteria and also occurs in some archaea. The record is from RNAcentral. Lineage: Bacteria; Bacillati; Bacillota; Clostridia; Lachnospirales; Lachnospiraceae.
UGAACCAAGGGAGCUUGUACAACAGGCUGAGAGGAAGCAGGGCUUCGACCUUUUAACUUGAUUUGGAUAAUGCCAACGUAAGGAGGAAAAUUUCA